GGGCGUCCCGGAGUUUUCCUGCGCCGGUGUUCCCACGUGCGGCCUGAACCUGAGGGCAUAAUGUUAUGAGGAGAUGGGAGCCCUAGUGAUUCGCGGUAUCAGGAAUUUCAACCUAGAGAACCGAGCGGAACGUGAAAUCAGCAAGAUGAAGCCCUCUGUCGCUCCCAGACACCCCUCUACCAACAGCCUCCUGCGAGAGCAGAUUAGUCUCUAUCCAGAAGUUAAAGGAGAGAUUGCUCGUAAAGAUAACAAGCUGCUGUCGUUACUAAAAGAUGUGUAUGUUGAUUCCAAAGAUCCUGUGCCUUCCUUGCAGGGCCUAUGAUGUUGUGAAGGACACAGACAUUAAACAAAUGAGCAACAAUGUGACCGUAAUUAUGGGAGAAGUACAAGCUGCUGAAACAUGUCAAGAGCCGAAGGAAUUCAGAUUGCCGAAAGACCAUCACCUUGAUAUGAUAAAUACUAAGAGCAUUCCCAAAGGCAAAAUUUCCAUUACAGAAGCAUUGUCACUUCUCAAUAAUCAUAAGCUUUUCCCAGAAACCUGGACUGCUGAGAAAAUAGCGCAAGAAUACCAGUUAGAACAGAAAGAUGUGAAUUCUCUUCUUAAAUAUUUUGCUACUUUUGAAG
RNAcentral lists this small RNA (624 nucleotides) under Pongo abelii (Sumatran orangutan). RNAcentral's name for it is "processed transcript". The record is from RNAcentral. Lineage: Eukaryota; Metazoa; Chordata; Mammalia; Primates; Hominidae.